Molecule: ribosomal RNA, 255 nt
Filed under: uncultured bacterium
Lineage: Bacteria
Description: partial 16S ribosomal RNA
Rfam family: Bacterial small subunit ribosomal RNA
Source: RNAcentral
UACGUAGGGGGCAAGCGUUGUCCGGAUUUAUUGGGCGUAAAGAGCUCGUAGGCGGUUUGUCGCGUCUGCUGUGAAAACCUAAGGCUCAACCUUGGGCUUGCAGUGGGUACGGGCAGACUAGAGUGCGGUAGGGGUGACUGGAAUUCCUGGUGUAGCGGUGGAAUGCGCAGAUAUCAGGAGGAACACCGAUGGCGAAGGCAGGUCACUGGGCCGCAACUGACGCUGAGGAGCGAAAAGCAUGGGGGAGCGAACAGG